UCCUGUUGCGCCAGGUGGUCCAGGGCCGCUUCCAGCGGCCCGUCGCUGCUUGGGCGCAGCAGCUUGCCGAUCGCCUCGGCGAGCUGGGC
RNAcentral lists this transfer RNA (89 nucleotides) under Bordetella pseudohinzii. RNAcentral's name for it is "tRNA-Gly(tcc)". Lineage: Bacteria; Pseudomonadati; Pseudomonadota; Betaproteobacteria; Burkholderiales; Alcaligenaceae. The record is from RNAcentral.